GUAUCUCGCCCUGUGGUGGAUUCGAAAUGCAUAGAUAUCACGCAGAACUCCGAUUGCGAAGGCAGUUACCUGCGCUCAACUGACGCUCAGGCACGAAAGCGUGGGUAUCGAACAGGCUUAGAUACCCUGGUAGUCCACGCAGUAAACGAUGAAUGCUCACUGUCCGGGCCGUUUAAGGCCUGGGUGGUCAAGCGAAAGCGUUAAGCAUUCCACCUGGGGAGUACGCCGGCAACGGUGAAACUCAAAGGAAUUGACGGGGGCCCGCACAAGCGGAGGAACAUGUGGUUUAAUUCGAUGAUACGCGAGGAACCUUACCCGGGCUCAAACGGAAGGGGACAGUAUGAGAAAUCAUACAUUCCUUCGGGACCGCUUCCGAGGUGCUGCAUGGUUGUCGUCAGCUCGUGCCGUGAGGUGUCGGCUUAAGUGCCAUAACGAGCGCAACCCCUAUCGACAGUUGCUAGCAGGUAAAGCUGAGGACUCUGUCGAGACUGCCGGCGCAAGCUGUGAGGAAGGCGGGGAUGACGUCAAAUCAGCACGGCCCUUACGUCCGGGGCGACACACGUGUUACAAUGGCAGGUACAGCGGGAAGCCACCCGGCGACGGGGCGCAGAACCCGAAAACCUGUCUCAGUUCGGAUUGGAGUCUGCAACCCGACUCCAUGAAGCUGGAUUCGCUAGUAAUCGCGCAUCAGCCACGGCGCGGUGAAUACGUUCCCGGGCCUUGUACACACCGCCCGUCAAGCCAUGGAAAGCCGGGGGUGCCUGAAGUGCGUGACCGCAAGGGACGCCCUAGGGUAAAACCGGGU
This 805-nucleotide ribosomal RNA is filed under the name mouse gut metagenome. Its description in RNAcentral is "bacterial SSU rRNA". It matches the Rfam family "Bacterial small subunit ribosomal RNA", at positions 663 to 1473 of the family's 1533-position model. The record is from RNAcentral.